This 458-nucleotide ribosomal RNA is filed under the name uncultured bacterium. RNAcentral's name for it is "bacterial SSU rRNA". It matches the Rfam family "Bacterial small subunit ribosomal RNA", at positions 40 to 507 of the family's 1533-position model. The record is from RNAcentral.
CGGCAGGCUUAACACAUGCAAGUCGAACGAGAACGGAUUAUAGCUUGCUAUAAUUGUCAGCUAAGUGGCGCACGGGUGAGUAAUGUAUAGGUAAUAUGCCUCUUACUAAGGGAUAACAAAUGGAAACGUUUGCUAAUACCUUAUACUCCUUAUUAACAGAAGUUAAUAAGGGAAAGAUUUAUUGGUAAGAGAUUAGCCUGUAUUGUAUCAGUUAGUUGGUGGGGUAAUGGCUUACCAAGACUAUGACACAUAACUGGUUUGAGAGGAUGAUCAGUCACACUGGAACUGAGACACGGUCCAGACUCCGUACGGGAGGCAGCAGGUGGGGAAUAUUGCACAAUGGACGAAAGUCUGAUGCAGCAACGCCGCGUGGAGGAUGACACAUUUCGGUGCGUAAACUCCUUUUAUAUGAGAAGAUAAUGACGGUAUUAUAUGAAUAAGCACCGGCUAACUCCGUG